Molecule: non-coding RNA, 713 nt
Organism: Myodes glareolus (Bank vole)
Lineage: Eukaryota; Metazoa; Chordata; Mammalia; Rodentia; Cricetidae
Source: RefSeq, a predicted model, not a curated record
GAAAGCGAUCUUUAGGGCAACAUUCUACCAAGUGUGGCGUGCAAUAGUCAGAUUUUGCAAACCCAGACACCUAGAGAAAGAUUUUUAGUUAUCUUGGCUAGUUGCCAGGCCAGAAGGCCUGCUGCUUCUCCUGUUUGGGCCUGAGGUCUCUCACAGUCACCUCUCUCUCCCCUUAAUAAGUCCCCUAUUGAAGCACAUUUAAAAACUUUUUUUUUCCAGUAUUAAAAGUUCUACCUGGUCCCGGUGGUGCACACCUGUAAUCCCAUCACGUGGGAGACUGAAGCAGGACAGUCUUGAUAUGAGUCCGAGGCUACCCUGGAGUCACAGAGAAACACUUCCAAAACCACCAAAACAAAAAGCCUCAAGAAUUGUAAAUACUUAAAGGAAAGUGGAAAAGGCCCUCUCUGUAUUGAACGUUACCGCCCAUCAAGAACAUUUGACAGUUUGCCUGGCUCUCCAGUAGAAGCUGGCCCCACAGAUGGACUGGCUUCGCAAGUUCAAGACUGAUCAGGACAAUCAACUAUCUCUUCAAACUGACCGACCCUAAAUUAUUGGGAUAAGACACUUUAAAGGCUUCAAAACCUCCAGACCUCAGAAAGAGACUGGGCUUCCCACCUUCCCGAGUCCUCCCUCGGGUUUUCCAGAGGAACCUUCCUGUGUGUAUGCACUGCCCGGUGUCUCCUCACCCCAAUAAAUGUCUUGCUUCAACUGCU